Molecule: ribosomal RNA, 301 nt
Filed under: uncultured bacterium
Lineage: Bacteria
Description: partial 16S ribosomal RNA
Rfam family: Bacterial small subunit ribosomal RNA
Source: RNAcentral
CAGUCGCCGCGGUAAUACAGAGGGUGCAAGCGUUAAUCGGAAUUACUGGGCGUAAAGCGCGCGUAGGUGGUUUGUUAAGUUGAAUGUGAAAUCCCCGGGCUCAACCUGGGAACUGCAUCCAAAACUGGCAAGCUAGAGUAGGGCAGAGGGUGGUGGAAUUUCCUGUGUAGCGGUGAAAUGCGUAGAUAUAGGAAGGAACACCAGUGGCGAAGGCGACCACCUGGGCUCAUACUGACACUGAGGUGCGAAAGCGUGGGGAGCAAACAGGAUUAGAUACCCGCGUAGUCCCUGUCUCUUAUAC